UUGGAGGGCAAGUCUGGUGCCAGCAGCCGCGGUAAUUCCAGCUCCAAUAGCGUAUAUUAAAGUUGUUGCAGUUAAAAAGCUCGUAGUUGAAUUUCGGGGUCAGUAGAUUGGUCAUGCCACUGGUAUGUACUGGUCUCACUGAUUCCUCCUUCCUGAUGAGCCGUAAUGCCAUUAAUUUGGUGUUGCGAGGAAUCUGGACUGUUACUUUGAAAAAAUUAGAGUGUUUAAAGCAGGCUAACGCUUGAAUACAUUAGCAUGGAAUAAUGAAAUAGGACGUUCGGUCUUAUUUUGUUGGUUUCUAAGAUUGACGUAAUGAUUAAUAGGGAUAGUUGGGGGCAUUAGUAUUCAAUUGUCAGAGGUGAAAUUCUUGGAUUUAUUGAAGACUAACUACUGCGAAAGCAUUUGCCAAGGAUGUUUUCAUUAAUCAAGAACGAAAGUUAGGGGAUCGAAGACGAUCAGAUACCGUCGUAGUCUUAACCAUAAACUAUGCCGACUAGGGAUCGGAUGAUGUUAAUUCUUUAAUGACUCAUUCGGCGCCUUACGGGAAAC
Molecule: ribosomal RNA, 549 nt
Filed under: uncultured Glomus
Lineage: Eukaryota; Fungi; Glomeromycota; Glomeromycetes; Glomerales; Glomeraceae
Description: SSU rRNA
Rfam family: Eukaryotic small subunit ribosomal RNA
Source: RNAcentral